GUGUCAGCAGCCGCGGUAAUACGAAGGUGGCUAGCGUUGUUCGGAUUUAUUGGGCGUAAAGGGUCCGCAGGCGGUUUGGAAAGUCAGAUGUGAAAUCCCACAGCUUAACUGUGGACACGCAUUUGAAACUCCCAGACUAGAGUAUGAGAGGGGUAAAAGGAAUUUCCAGUGUAGGGGUGAAAUCCGUAGAUAUUGGAAAGAACACCGGCCGCGAAGGCGUUUUACUGGCUCAUUACUGACGCUCAGGGACGAAAGCCAGGGGAGCAAACGGGAUUAGAUACCCCGGUAGUCC
Molecule: ribosomal RNA, 292 nt
Filed under: uncultured bacterium
Lineage: Bacteria
Description: partial 16S ribosomal RNA
Rfam family: Bacterial small subunit ribosomal RNA
Source: RNAcentral